UAGAGUUUGAUCCUGGCUCAGGACGAACGCUGGCGGCAUGCCUAACACAUGCAAGUCGAACGAAUCUUCUCAACUAGCUUGCUAGGCGAGAAGGUUAGUGGCGGACGGGUGAGUAACGCGUGGGUAACCUGCCCAUAAAUCUGGGAUAACUUCGGGAAACCGGAGCUAAUACGGGAUAAUCUCUAGUUUUCGCAUGAAGAGUAGAGAAAAGAUGGCCUCUCGAUGAAGCUAUCGUUUAUGGAUGGACCCGCGUCUGAUUGGCUAGUUGGUGAGGUAAAGGCUCACCAAGGCGACGAUCAGUAGCCGGCCUGAGAGGGUGAACGGCCACACUGGGACUGAGACACGGCCCAGACUCCUACGGGAGGCAGCAGUGGGGAAUCUUCCGCAAUGGGCGCAAGCCUGACGGAGCAAUGCCGCGUGAGUGAAGAAGGCCUUCGGGUUGUAAAACUCUGUCCUAAGGGAAGAAUGUGCCAUAUGUGAAUAAUGUAUGGUAAUGACGGUACCUUGGGAGGAAGCCCCGGCUAACUACGUGCCAGCAGCCGCGGUAAUA
RNAcentral lists this ribosomal RNA (550 nucleotides) under uncultured bacterium. RNAcentral's name for it is "bacterial SSU rRNA". It matches the Rfam family "Bacterial small subunit ribosomal RNA", at positions 1 to 525 of the family's 1533-position model. The record is from RNAcentral.